This 451-nucleotide long non-coding RNA is filed under the name Mustela putorius furo (domestic ferret). Its description in RNAcentral is "lncRNA (ENSMPUG00000024411.1)". The record is from RNAcentral. Lineage: Eukaryota; Metazoa; Chordata; Mammalia; Carnivora; Mustelidae.
UCUUCCUGUUGACUUGGGGGAUUCCAGGCAUGCCAGUGCCUUCCGGCGUCAUUGAAGCAGCACUGACUUGAUAUUCGGUCACGCCGGUCCUGGACACAGAUGAGAGACACGGGAAGGCGAGACAUUGCACCGUCUGUCUUCUUCCAGCUUCAACAAUGAGCCUUCAUGGAGUGCAGCAGGCCCGUGCCUUGAUUUGGGAAUUCUGGCCUCCAGAGCUGACACAGGAUCCAUUUCUGUUGUUUUCAACCACCCAGUUCAUGGGAAAUUUGUUACCAGCAGCUUCGGGAAACUGAUACAAAUCCCUUGAGUUGUCUUCCUAAGGCAUCUAAAGGAAGAUGUUGGGGCGCCUGGGUGGCUCAGUGGGUUAAGCCGCUGCCUUCGGCUCAGGUCAUGAUCUCAGAGUCCUGGGAUCGAGUCCCGCAUCGGGCUCUCUGCUCAGCGGAGAGUCUGC